This 429-nucleotide ribosomal RNA is filed under the name uncultured archaeon. RNAcentral describes it as "bacterial SSU rRNA". It matches the Rfam family "Archaeal small subunit ribosomal RNA", at positions 474 to 903 of the family's 1478-position model. The record is from RNAcentral.
UACCAGCUCUCCGAGUGGUGUGGAUGUUUAUUGGGCCUAAUGCAUCCGUAGCUGGCUGGGCAAGUCCCCUGUUAAAUCCACCGAUUUAAUCGUUGGUGUGCGGGGGAUACUGUUCGGCUAGGGGACGGGAGAGGCCGACGGUAUUUUCGGGGUAGGGGUGAAAUCCUAUAAUCCCGGGAAGACCACCAGUGGCGAAGGCCGUCGGCUAGAACGCGCCCGACGGUGAGGGAUGAAAGCUGGGGGAGCGAACCGGAUUAGAUACCCGGGUAGUCCCAGCUGUAAACGAUGCAGGCUAGGUGUUUGGGCGGCCACGUGCCGCUCUAGUGCCGGAGAGAAGUUGUAAGCAAGCUGCCUGGGAAGUACGGUCGCAAGGCUAGAAACUUAAAGGAAUUGGCGGGGGAGCACAGCGACGGGUGGAGCGUGCGGUUU